Molecule: long non-coding RNA, 463 nt
Organism: Vidua chalybeata
Lineage: Eukaryota; Metazoa; Chordata; Aves; Passeriformes; Viduidae
Exons: 3
Source: RefSeq, a predicted model, not a curated record
UACUCUUGCAGUAGAUCCAAUGUGAGCAACAGUGAGGUUUUUAAGGAGAUGGAUCCCAUACUUGAACAGACCAUAAGGGAACAGGGUCUGGGAUCAUAUUUUCAUUUCACUGGCUCACUAGAAAAGAUCCUUACUUAAGAAGUGGCUCCAGUGACCUGGUGUGAGAGAGCAGAGGAGAGCUGCUCUGCAAGGCAAGCAACACAGGACAGGCAGCAGUUACACACAGGGAUUGUAAGUGCUGAGACACACUCCUACAGGAGAGGAGGCACAGCUGCAGCCAUGCCUCUUUCUUCUUCUCCCAUGGAAAUUCAAUCUUAAAGCCCCCGACUUCUGCAAGCACAAGCUGAGAUGUUCAGCUGUGUGGACAAAGAGCACAUGCUAUCAACAGAUACUUGUCUCCACUCAGGAAGCAGAGAUGGGCUGGACCAUACUGAAUUCAAAGAAUAAAUUCUCAUAAUGCUUA